ACUUGACCAUUUGCUUGAUGAGUUUGAAGCCUCUGUUUCAGAAGCAGUGGGCAUGACUGCUGUGGUUCCGCAUGAAUAAGCUCGGUAGAUUAUUCCAAAGCAUGGACUUUAGUAUCACAUGCCAUAGCAAGAAAGUUCGGAAGAAGAAAAUGUUUGGUGUUCUUUGCAAUUAGACGGAAGAAUGACUUUAGACUAAAAAAGAUAUUAGUCGGUGCUCACUCCAACUCUAGUGUUCAAGAUUUUCGGUCCAAGUUUGCUAUUCAAGAAGUGAAGAACAAUUGUGCAAGAUGUCGGCUUGAACAAGAAAUUUUCUGUGUGAAUUAAAAGUGAGAAUCAAGUGUGGAACUCAUAUAAUUUUGUUACCUUGUACUCAUAAAAGUACAUUAAAUAUUUAAGUGAACUGCCUAAAUACUUCAGGCAUAUAUGUAAUAAAAAGCUGUCUAAUUUUAUACCAAUAAAAUUAUUUGUUUUGUA
Molecule: long non-coding RNA, 474 nt
Organism: Macrosteles quadrilineatus (aster leafhopper)
Lineage: Eukaryota; Metazoa; Arthropoda; Insecta; Hemiptera; Cicadellidae
Exons: 3
Source: RefSeq, a predicted model, not a curated record